RNAcentral lists this ribosomal RNA (253 nucleotides) under uncultured bacterium. RNAcentral describes it as "partial 16S ribosomal RNA". It matches the Rfam family "Bacterial small subunit ribosomal RNA", at positions 524 to 776 of the family's 1533-position model. The record is from RNAcentral.
UACGGGGGGGGUAAGCGUUGUUCGGAAUUACUGGGCGUAAAGGGCUCAUAGGCGGCCAACUAAGUCAGACGUGAAAUCCCUCAGCUUAACUGGGGAACUGCGUCUGAUACUGGAUGGCUUGGAUUCGGGAGAGGAAUGCGGAAUUCCAGGUGUAGCGGUGAAAUGCGUAGAUAUCUGGAGGAACACCGGUGGCGAAGGCGGCAUUCUGGACCGUAACUGACGCUGAGACACGAAAGCGUGGGUAGCAAACAGG